GAUUAUGCAGGCAAUCUGGCUGUGACAUCUGGCCCCAUUGAUCGCCAGGGUUUAUUGGGCUGAUCUGGCUGGCUGGGCGGGUGUCUUCUUCCUCCCUCACUGCUCCCUGUGUGUCCCUCCUGAAACUGCAUGCUUCAAAGAGGACAACCACCCGAUACAGGAAGACCGGUUCCUUGGUCAAGGGUGUACAAGCAGUUGCGCUCCCCUGCUAGAACCUCCAAACAAGCUCUCAUUCCCAUUCCCUUAAUAUAAAUAUCAUAUAAAAUAAUAUAUGCAUGCAUACAUUACAUGCAAUAAGCACAAUAAGCUUAAUCAGUAAUAGUU
RNAcentral lists this small nuclear RNA (324 nucleotides) under Heterocephalus glaber (naked mole-rat). RNAcentral describes it as "7SK RNA". It matches the Rfam family "7SK RNA". From Rfam's summary of the family: 7SK was discovered as an abundant small nuclear RNA in the mid-70s but a possible function has only recently been suggested. Two independent studies have found that 7SK RNA binds the CDK9/cyclin T complex (known as elongation factor P-TEFb). The record is from Rfam by way of RNAcentral. Lineage: Eukaryota; Metazoa; Chordata; Mammalia; Rodentia; Bathyergidae.